RNAcentral lists this small nuclear RNA (129 nucleotides) under Oncorhynchus mykiss (rainbow trout). RNAcentral's name for it is "U4 spliceosomal RNA (ENSOMYG00000072570.1)". It matches the Rfam family "U4 spliceosomal RNA", at positions 36 to 138 of the family's 138-position model. Rfam says of the family: U4 small nuclear RNA (U4 snRNA) is a component of the major U2-dependent spliceosome. Lineage: Eukaryota; Metazoa; Chordata; Actinopteri; Salmoniformes; Salmonidae. The record is from RNAcentral.
AUUGUAAUAAAUUAUUUUAACCACCAUCUGAGGCGUGAUUAUUGCUGGUUGAAAACUUAACCCAAUACCCCGCUUGGGAUGACUUGAAAUAUAGUCAGCCUUGGCAAUUUUUGAUAGUCUCAUGUGAGA